Long non-coding RNA from Oreochromis aureus, 286 nucleotides. RefSeq lists it as uncharacterized. Lineage: Eukaryota; Metazoa; Chordata; Actinopteri; Cichliformes; Cichlidae. The transcript has 3 exons. The record is from RefSeq and is a predicted model, not a curated record.
AUGCGGGAAGGAGAGACGAAGCCUUUUCCUUGUACAACAAAAGACUAUUAUAUCAAUGUUCGGUGCACUAAUAGAAGAAUAUUUCUGAGUACAUGUUGUCCCACAGCUGACAUUUUUUAUGAAGUGUGCAGAGUAUUCAGAGAACCCAACUGACAACACGACCUUUCUGAAACUCUUCAACCAGAACCUGCAGAGCAACAACAAAACAUGUUUCUUUUCUUUGCACAGUUUUAGUGCUGAUUGUUCUUUAAACACCAAACUGUCCAUAAAUGUUUUGAACUUUGAA